This 502-nucleotide ribosomal RNA is filed under the name uncultured bacterium. RNAcentral's name for it is "partial 16S ribosomal RNA". It matches the Rfam family "Bacterial small subunit ribosomal RNA", at positions 28 to 507 of the family's 1533-position model. The record is from RNAcentral.
GAUUAACGCUGGCGGCGUGCCUAACACAUGCAAGUCGAGCGGCAGCGAGUUUUACACUGAAUUCUGGAAGCUUCUAGUUGAAAGAGAAGAUUUAUUCAAGAAUUUUGUGUAAAAUGUCGGCGAGCGGCGGACGGCUGAGUAACGCGUGGGAACGUACCCCAAAGUGAGGGAUAACGCAUCGAAAGGUGUGCUAAUACCGCUUAUGGUCUUCGGAUUAAAGCCUUCGGGCGCUUUGGGAACGGCCUGCGUAAGAUUAGAUAGUUGGUGGGGUAAUGGCCUACCAAGUCGACGAUCUUUAACUGGUUUGAGAGGAUGAUCAGUCAGACUGGAACUGAGACACGGUCCAGACUCCUACGGGAGGCAGCAGUGAGGAAUCUUCCACAAUGGGCGAAAGCCUGAUGGAGCAACGCCGCGUGCAGGAUGAAGGCCUUCGGGUUGUAAACUGCUUUUAUAAGUGAGGAUUAUGACAGUAACUUAUGAAUAAGGAUCGGCUAACUACGUG